Non-coding RNA from Mycena crocata, 98 nucleotides. The record is from the annotation of a GenBank genome assembly. Lineage: Eukaryota; Fungi; Basidiomycota; Agaricomycetes; Agaricales; Mycenaceae.
GCACCGGUGGUGUAGUGGUAACACAAACUCAUAAUGUAUACCACGAAUGCACUCUGGAAGUUAUGAGUGAGUCUGGGGUUUGAGUCCCCAUUGGUGCA